Molecule: non-coding RNA, 16043 nt
Organism: Rattus norvegicus (Norway rat)
Lineage: Eukaryota; Metazoa; Chordata; Mammalia; Rodentia; Muridae
Source: RefSeq, a predicted model, not a curated record
CCAGAGCUGGGGACCGAACCCAGGGCCUUGUGCUUCCUAGACACAUAAAAGCAUCCCACCGUCUGCACACUAGAUGGGUAAGUAGUUGUUAACCUUUGAGGAGAGCCAAAGACUCGUCCGAGACUCUGCCUAAAGAUGUGGUCACCUUCCAGAGCUUGUGCAGAACCAGCCUAGAAGCUGACUUCCUGAACGUAAACAUGUAAGGACAAACAUGCCUCCCCUGCAUUGCCACUUUUCUUAAGUAGAUAGCUGAUGCUUCCUGGGGCAGAGGCUGGGGGUACCCUGCAAAUUACAAAGUUUUAACUGCUCGGUAGUAACUCUUGAUGAGAUUUGAUUUAUUAAUUAAAUCUGAUCCGGCCUUUAUCACAGCAAAAUGUCCUUCAUCUUUUUUUUUCUUUUUAAUAUGAGGAAUUUAUUGCUCCUAGUUCUAGAGUCUGGAGGUCUGAAAGUUGUGUGGGAAGGCACAGUUCAUUCAGAAGCCACCAAAGAAGGAAACUCUCCUGCCUCUUUCUCCUCUGGCAAGUUAGUCAUGCAGGCUUUCCUAGGUUGCAGUGGCCUACUCCAUUUUUACCUCUUUUUCCCCAUGGGGUUUCCUUGUGUGGCUCUCUCUCUCACAUAAUGUUUUCUCAUAAAGGCUUCAGUCACACUGGAUGAGAAAUUAUACACCCCAUCAGGUACCCAUUUUCACACAAAAUACUUUCAAAACCUUGUUGGCCAAUAUGUCCUUCAUCUUUAUAGUCCAUUGGGCCAUUCUCUCUGAGGCAACAAGUCCACACAAUGUUUUUGCAAGGUGACACCAAAUUCCUCCAAGACUCAUAUUAGAAUAUAUGCACAUUAUAUCCUCUCCCAUCAAGUUCAAAUAAGCAUGCUGCUAAGUCAGAAAUUUUCUGUGUGGUACAGAGAAAAUGUAUUCUGUCCUGUUUUUUCGGCAACUCCUCUGGGAAAGACAGUGGCUGCUGCUGAUAUGCAAAGUAAUGAGGUCCAAUAAUGUGCGCAGUCCUUUGCUCAACAAACCGGAACCCCAUGCUAUGUGCCCGAUAUCACAGGUGCACCAUCUGCCUUCCCUUUGCAGCUAUGUCUUCUCCCUUCCAUUGGAGUAGUUAUGUAAGUGGGACUGAAGGCUAGAGCAGAGAUAAGCGUAUCUGAAAAUGCCCACAGUCUUUCUGAUUCCCACAGGUCUGAGAUGGAUUUAUUUACUGAUACUAAAUACUAAACAGCACGGAAACAGGUAUCAGAAGUUGCGUGCUAAAGAAAAGCAUCACCACCGCCUGCUUUUUCCGAGGUAUUGAAAGGCCAUGUUUUCUUUCAUGGACCAUAUUUUAGAAAGUUGAGCUAAAAUAUUUAACUCUAAUUUCCUUUUAAAAAGAAAACAAACAAAAACAACUGUUUCCCAUGUGUGUUCUUCUUACCACUUAACUCAUUAAAAAGGUUUCCCCCUCCAACCAACCAUCCCAGUUCUUAUUCUACACACACACACACACACACACACACACACACACUUUCUGAUUGCUGGAGUCUGAAAUGACCUGCUCUUCUUCUGCUCUGUUUCUGUUCUCCCUCUGAGACCAUUGCACACUGAUGGGUAGUUUUGCAAGGUCGGGGACAGUCUAUAGUGACCUCUCCACCAUUUCCCACUCUGACAAGCCCACCCUGAAGAAGGGUGGGGAGAACACUACAGCGUUUGUCACUGACAGGCUGACUGGCUGACUCCUGAAUCAUCUUCUGUGUAUUCACAUUCAUACAGCCAGUUCUCAUUUGCCCAUUGUGUUUGUCACAUCAGCAAUGGCAUUGCUGCCUGCUGGAUUAAGCAACAUUGUGCCUCUACUCUUCAUUUUCAAUCAUAAUCUCCCAAUACUAGGCCAACUCUCUACUAGAACACACUGCCACCAUUUUAAAAAUAACUUCCCACUGAAUAAGAGAGGAUUCAAGCAAGGCUUGAAAUAAAAAUGAGCACAGUUAGCUGGGGAAGUCACAAGUAGCAUCUACUCAAAUACGACACAAAUCGAAUACAUUAUGAAGUCAAGCGUGACGUUAAGACCACGUAUCCCAACAAAUUAAUAUUACAGAUGGGAGACACUGGAGAAUAUAGUAUUUGGAUACAAGAAACUAAAAUUUUAAAAUAACAAAUAUCUUAAAUAUAAAAUGUAAAAUAAUGAAGAAUGAAAUAUUGCCUUAAUUCAGGUAGUCAACAUUAAGGAUAAGUUAAGGAAGCAAGUGAAAAGAAUGAGAAUGAAAAUUGCUCGUGCUCUCUCUCUCUCUCUCUCUCUGUGUGUGUGUGUGUGUGUGUGUGUGUGUGUGUGUGUGUGUGCUCUUCCAUCCUGCAGGUAACAAAGGGAGGUAGACCCAGUGGUGCUUGGGACAUUGGUAGUCACCAUUCACUUGCAUGGUGACAGGCACCAAGCUAAGUGUUUUGAUAUACAUUACCUCAAUUUUUUUUUUAUUAAACUAAGUUUUGUAAAACUCUGGUUUGGGGGCUGGUGAGAUGGCUUCCAGAGGUCCUGAGUUCAAAUCCCAGCAACUACAUGGUGGCUCACAACCAUCUGUAGUGGGAUCCAGUACCCUUUCCUGGUGUGUCUGAAGACAGCAACAGUGUAAUAUAAUAAAUACAUCUUUUUAAAAACAAAACAGAACUCUGGUUUUUAAACACACCGUGCCCAGCGAGGUCUGCACCUCCGUACGUAAAGAAUUCAGGAAAACAGAAGUAUUCAUUGUGCGUGGCCUAGUGUGCUGGAAGGUUUGCCGGAGUAACAGUCGUGUUCCUGUGAAAAGACGUAGCACUAGGCUGACUGGUGACUGAGACCCUCGGCUUACACUACCAAUCGUUAUUUACCUGAAGACCAACUCCAUGAGGUGGAAUGCAUACCCAACACUGCUUGUGUAACCAAGAACCUACGUCUGCACAGCCCAGGGGCCUACGGUAAAAUCAAAGCAAAGCAAAGCAGAGCCCUGUGGCAAUAAAAUGGCUCCUGGUGUCACUCUGCUCUACUCAGACCCGGCUGGGCCAUCUCAGGGCAGCUUCCCCCUAAUGCAGUGGAGCAAGUACAGAGAGCACAGCCAGACUUACACAGAGAGGCAGAACCCUCAGUCCUAAUGGGAUGACUCUUUCCAGUCUCUCCCUAGGGGCUCGGGGCUCGGGGCUCGGGCCCCCUCUAAAGUACACAUGGGCUCAGACUGAGGCAGCGUGCACAGGGCCUACUUGGGUCUGAAUCAGAUGGGGUCCUAGAGCUGAAAGGAGAAGCAGGUACAUGCCUGAUUCCGGAAGAUGUCUCCAACUGAUAGUCACUUGCAAAUGAAAAUUUAGUUUUUUGCCAAGGGAGUCUCACUGGGCAAACUAUCUUUCAGGGUAGGCUGUGUGCCCAACAGAGAACAACUCAGAGGCCUCUCUGAAGGUAUCUGGUCUCAAUGUCAUAGCAGGGGGGUUUCUCUCCUUCCGUUUUUUAUUUCACUCUUCAUUUUUUUUCUCCCUUUUUACCCUGCGGGUUUCAUACAUAUUGUGGCUUCUAGCACUGUAUUUUUAUGGGACUCCUGAGUGUGCAGAUGAGGGGGUCUCUACAUCUGUAUCUGUAUUUUUGUGCCUUCUCUUGGGUUCUUUUCCUUGUUUGUUUCUUCUGUCAGAUUCCAGUGUACUGUUUUUAUUUUUAUCUUAUUUUAUUAUAUCUUGUUUUAUUAUUAUCCCUCCUUAUAAGCCAUUUUGUUUUCCAAUGAGAGACAGAAAGGGGGUGGAUCUGGAUAGAAGAGGAAUUGGGAGAAACUGCAAGGAGUAGAGAGGAGAAACUAUAAUCAGAAUAUAUGAACAAAAUCUGGUUUCAAUAAAUGGAAAAGUAUUUUUUUAAAGGAAAAGAAAAGAAACUCUGAUUGUAAUUUGCUCUCCCACGUUUGCCUACCUGGGGAAAAUGUAUAGACUAGGAGAAGCCACUCUACCUCGACUUCCCAAUGUAAACUGAAGAAGUGGCACUGGGCAUUCACACACAGUGAAUAGUACUUGUGAGGCUAGAGGAGCCCACACCGGAUGGCCUGUGAAGGCUGUGUUAGGAUUCCCAGCAGCCAUAGGAGGCUGGAAAUAAGAGGAUCCCUGGAGCUCCCCAGCUAGGCCAGCCAGCUAGCCCACCACUCCAGCCAGUGAUAACUCCAAAUUGAGGGAAAAUCCCUCUAAACAACAAAGUGGAGAGCAGUUUGGACAAACAGGCAGUGUCAACCUCCAUCUUCCACAUACGUGCUUCCACAUAAACAUAUCCACACAAAUACCUGCAUUUACCUCCCGAAAACGCACGCACGAACGCACACACACACACACACACACACACACACACACACACACACACACACACACACACACACACACGGCUUAGUAUUUAUAGUAGGGUUGCUUCUCACUGGCCCUAAGAGUGACCGUUUGUACAUUACCACUUAGACUAUUAUAAAAAUCUAAAAGGAAAUGAAUUUCCUUAAAACUCCUGUCAUUUCCUUCUCAGUUUUUGUUCUGUUGUUAUUUUGUUCUGAACAGGGCCUAAAUUACUUUAAGCAAGUGCUGCACCACUAAGAUGCACCCCCUGCUUUCUGCUUUCUUUUCUUCUUUAAAAAGAAAAGCAAAUGUUCUAAUUUCUCUCUUUGGUAACUAGCAGUAAUUGCUGCUGUGUAAAUUUCUCUAAAUAAUUUUUAACAUCAGCAUGAUUCAUUAAGAAAUAUCAAUGUCCAUGGACGUUUCUCUCUAAAAGAAAUGUGAACAGUAUACUAUAUUAAACAGAAGGUUAUUCCAUAUGAUAUACAGGAAAUAGGGAUUAUUUUAAAAAUCUGCCCAUUUGGGUUAACAAAAAGCAGUUGCCUAAGUGAUACAUACGUAGAAGUUCCUGGAUGAAAACAUAAAAAUACCUGGAUUCUACAACUUUGAUAUAUUAUUGAAGACACUUUUUAAAGAUACCAAAACCAUGAAUGAUAUGCUGCAAUUUGCAUUAGGGUAACGUAUAAAUGUAUAUGAUUGCAUAUACAUAAAACAGCCCAAGUGUCUUAAAAGCCCAAGACACUGGUAACUGCCUACCUCUAGGGAAGUCCAAAAGAAAAGGGGAUGUAGUAGAGAGAAAACUAGAAGACCACAGCACCACGUUCUGCAAACAAUCCUUAUGAGACAGCUUUGUUCAGUUCCUCAGUGACUACACAUGACCUGGCCAAUCGUUUUUCUCCAUUUUGAAAGGCAGUUACACUAAGUCUCUCCAUCUCCAUUUCAACAGAAUUAUGGCUCAACAGGUGUAAAUAAAAAGCCAGCUGGCAAAAGAAAACCAUAAGCCCUGCACUGUAGCAGCUGACAUCGCAGUUAUUUACACUUCUGCCUGCAGGUUUCAUGAAGGCUGUGAACAGCAGUGUCAUCAAGAAUUUGGAACAAAAUCCAGGUUUCCAAGCUUGACAGAGUUUCUCGUCUUUCUGUUCUGUACCAAGCGCGAUUCUAGUUAACAACCAAACUACUGCCUCCCAUACACAUCCCAAUAAAUGAACAAAUCUCAGAUGGACACACAGAGAAGGAACGCAGACUUCUAAGACAGUGUAAAAGUAGAUCCUGAAAUAAGAAAAUGCUGAAAUGAACCCUUUGAUUUCCAUAUCCCCAAGAGAAAACAGCAAAAGAGAAAAGGAUACAGAGAGGCCAAGAGGAAUGGCAUAUAAAGAAACCAAAGCUCAGCUGGCUCCUUACAGGACAAGGGAAAUGGAACAGGCCUAGUGACUUGUUCACUGAUAACCUCAUAUGCCAUUGCGUUAAACCGAUUAAAAGCCUUGGUCUUCAAGGGCUAGAUUUGAUUCAGGAGAACAGAAAAAUUAAUAUGAAUGCAGUAUCACAAAGAAUAAAAGUGAAAAUGAGUAGAAAGGGUGGAUGUUGAAACCUCACUGGAGGAAGAAGUCUCUGUGGGCUAGAACCACCAGGGAUAGAUUUACAGAGGGCAGGCUCUAAAGUCUGUAUGACCAGAAAAGGGACAGUGAGGAGAUCAACAGGAAUCUCUUUGAGUUGGAGGGUGACGAUGAAAGAAGGCAGUUAGUUGGUAAGGUCGGCUUUUAUGGCUUGCUUCUAAGUAGUAAGUCCAUUAGAAAUGCUCAAAAUUAUUUUUUUGAACACUGAGUUGCCAAACCUUCUUUAGAGAAUGAGAUACACGGCAAGGAGGGCAUGCUGCUAAUACGUCCAGACUGACUGGCGGAAGAAAUGGCUGACAGGCACUUGCUGCUCUUCCAGACUAUCUGAGUUUGGGGCCCAGGGCUGCACACAUUGAGCAGCUAGCUCACAGCCACCUGCAGCCCCAAUUCCAGAGCAUUCUACACCAUCCAGCCUCUGCGGAUAGGUGCAUGCAUGUGUGCCUGAGCACAUACACCUAAAUACAAAUAAACUUAUACCUAAAUACAAAUAAACUUAUACCUAAAAACAAAUAAACCAUUUUUAAAGGAGCUGGGUGAGUAGGCUCAACGACAAGAUCAGCAUGCACCUAGAUGCAACCUUUUUUGUAGGCAGGGUCCUGGGAAUGAGAAAGGUUAUUGUUACACAGAACAUCUGGCAACCAUUCCCAGUGUUUUCUUGCAGGUACCUCAUAUCAUUUCCUGUCACAACCUUCAAACUCAGAAAUCAGCUCCACCCAAAAAGCACAAAACCAGGAAAUAAGGGAGCCAGCUUUCCUUUAGAAUUAUGCCCUGGGCCUGCUGAAUGAAAUAAACUCUGAGUUUUUACAAGAAAGUCAUCUAAAUUAAGAUAAGAGGGAAAGCAUCUUUGUAAUCUACUGAUUAAUCUUUGUAAUGGGUGAGCUAUUAUUGAUAACAUACUGAUAAGUCUUGCAACAUCUUUUCAAGCAAAAUCUCUCUCUUGAAUGUUGGCAUAUAGGCAAGAAAGAACAACAUGUAUGAAAAUUCCAUUAAACAAGUAAGGUCUUAAGUCAGAGAAAACAUUCUAAAAUUCUACUCUGUCUUUAUUAUUCACACACCUAAGUGUGCUAGCACACAUAUAACCCUCUCCUAGUGCUAUGCCGGAGUAUGGGUUGCUUUGUGGAAAACUACAUGUUGGGACAGAAUCCGUGUUUACAAAAUUAAAAAUAAAUGUUUAAAACACUAGUAAAAGCUAAUCGUUAUACUACGAUUCUGUGACGCAGCAGUCUGUUUUGUAUUGUUUGAUGGGAAGGCAGAUCUUCUAAUAUUUAGUGAUUUGUUCACAGUUAAAACAUAAGAGGAAAGAAACUAUUUUUAAGAAAUUUGAACAAAAAAUGAUAAAGCCCGCCCCAUUCAUCUAUAGAUCCUGUAAGAACAAAGGCAUAGCUUACUCUAUCUCCUUCUAAUUCACGUCUGUCAGCAUUCUAUUGUUGAGCUUAAGCUGUAGGGUCAGACUUGUCCAAACUUUACUGAGAGGACACGUGGUCUCCUGGGAAUUCUUCCCUUUAAAAUCAGAUUUUAAAAGACAGUCCCCAAAAGUGGACAGCUCAAAGGGUAUGCAGACUUACAUUUCUGUACUGAAUGUGUGGGCUCAAUGAUAAGUAGUGCUGACCUCCUAAAAGCUGCCUGGUGAGCCUUCCUGAGGACACCUCGGUGUACAGUAAACAAGUGUCUCCACAUCUCAGGACAAAGCAUUCAUCUGAACCCUGGUGAUGGCUCAGAUCCGAAGUCAAAGCAAGUUCUAUUGCUAGGUUCUUCCUUCGGGCAGGUAAAACAAUGAAAGAGCAGUGAAGUUCAGAAGAAUGUAUAUAACAAUGUUCUAACAUGGGAUCUCAUAAAACUACAAAGCUUCUGUAAGGCAAAGGACACUGUGGUUAGGACAAAACGGCAACCAACAGACUGGGAAAAGAUCUUUACCAAUCCUACAACUGAUAGAGGGCUCAUAUCCAAAACAUACAAAGAACUCACAAAGUUAGACAGCAAGGAGACAAAUAAUCCUAUUAAAAAUGGGGUUCAGAGCUAAAGAAAGAACUCACAUCUGAGGAAUGCCGAAUGGCUGAGAAGAACCAAAAGAAAUGUUCAACAUCUUUAGUCAUAAGGGAAAUGCAAAUCAAAACAACCCUGAGAUUUCACCUCACACCAGUGAGAAUGGCUAAGAUAAAAAACUCAGGUGACAGCAGAUGCUGGCGAGGGUGCGGAGAAAGAGGAACACUCCUCCAUUGUUGGUGGGAUUGCAGACUGGUACAACCAUUCUGGAAAUCAGUCUGGAGGUUCCUCAGAAAAUUGGACAUUGAACUGCCUGAGGAUCCAGCUAUACCUCUCUUGGGCAUAUACCCAAAAGAUGCUCCAACAUAUAAAAAAGACAUGUGCUCCACUAUGUUCAUCGCAGCCUUAUUUAUAGUAGCCAGAAGCUGGAAAGAACCCAGAUGCCCUUCAACAGAGGAAUGGAUACAGAAAAUGUGGUACAUCUACACAAUGGAAUAUUACUCAGCUAUCAAAAACAAUGACUUUAUGAAAUUCGUAGGCAAAUGGUUGGAACUGGAAAAUAUCAUCCUGAGUGAGCUAACCCAAUCACAGAAAUACACACAUGGUAUGCACUCAUUGAUAAGUGGCUAUUAGCCCAAAUGCUUGAAUUACCCUAGAUGCCUAGAACAAAUGAAACUCAAGACGGAUGAUCAAAAUGUGAAUGCUUCAGUCCUUCUUUAAAAGGGGAACAAGAAUACCCUUGGCAGGGAAUAGAGAGGCAAAGAUUAAAACAGAGGCAGAAGGAACACCCAUUCAGAGCCUGCCCCACAUGUGGCCCAUACAUAUACAGCCACCAAACUAGAUAAGAUGGAUGAAGCAAAGAAGCGCAGGCUGACAGGAACCGGAUGUAGAUCUCUCCUGAGAGACACAGUCAGAAUACGGCAAAUACAUAGGCGAAUGCCAUCAUUAAACCACUGAACUGAGAAUGGGACCCCCGUUGAAGGAAUCAGAUAAAGGACUAGAAGAGCUGAAGGGGCUCGAGACCCCUUAUGAACAACAAUGCCAAGCAACCAGAGCUGCCAGGGACUAAGCCACUACCCAAAGACUAUACAUGGACUGACCCUGGUGACCCUGGACUCUGACCUCAUAGGUAGCAAUGAAUAUCCUAGUAAGAUCACCAGUGGAAGGGGAAGCCCUGGGUCCUGCUAAGACUGAACCCCCAGUGAACUAGAUUGUUGGGGGGGAGGGUGGUAAUGGGGGGAGGAUGGGGAGGGGAACAGCAAUAUAGAAGGGGAGGGGAAGGAGCUAGGGGGAUGUUGGCCCGGAAACCGGGAAAGGGAAUAACAAUUGAAAUGUAAGUAAGAAAUACCCAAUUUAAUAAAGAUGGAGGAAAAAAAAGUAUAUAAAAAAAGAAUUCACCAGCCCAAAAGCUGCAGCUCUGAAACCUAAAACUAACACACUUAAAUCAUGUGGCCUUUAAUAGCAUCUUUUCUCCCUUAUACUCUGGCUAAGGAUGCUUAAUUAAGUUAAUCACAUGGACUAUACCCUACUUUUUAGGGUAUAUUGACUUUUUAUGUAUGGUGUAUGUCGUACGUGAACAUGAGUGUAUAGGGGCAUGUGCCCAUUCAUGCCCAUGCAGUGACCAGAGGAGGACAUCAAGCAUCUCCCUCGGUUGCUAUAUCAGCUAGACUGGCUGGCAGCUUCUGGAAUGAAUCUAGCUAUCUCCAAGAUCCUGGGGUUACAGGUACAUUCAGCUGCUCCCAGCUUUGCCUGCAUGGGUGCUGAGAUUCAAAUUUAGGUCCCUGUGCCCUGGCCCCUACUUUAUGCUGUCUGAAUUAAAACACAGGCCAUUCCUGUCUGGUCAGAGGCAUAGCGACUGUUCAAAAAGAAUGCCUUCACUUCGAAACUAUGGGACUCAACAAAAGAAAAUCCUGUUCACUCCAAGAACACUAACAAAUUGUUUUGUCCAAAAAUAAAAUAUUUAUCUUUAAAAGAUUGAUGUGUUAGGGCUAGAGUGAUGGCUCAGUGAUUAAGAGCACUGAUUGUUCUUCCAAAGUUCCUGAGUUCAAUUCCCAGCAACCACAUGGUGGCUCACCACCAUCUGUAAUGGGAUCUGAUGCCCUCUUCUGGUGUGUCUGAAGACAGCUACAUAAAAUACAUAAAAUAAAUAAUUCUCUAAAAAUCAAAAAAACAAAAAGAAAAGAUGUCUUUUAAAUUAUCACAGAUUUAUCUCAGAUGCUUUCUGAGUAAGUAAAACACAUCAAUGAAGUCCCAUUUCCUCAUGUUAUUACAACUCAUGUGCCACUUCUGAGGUAAUAUCAAAUGCUCUGUUACUUAAGGAGAGGCAAAGCCACAGAAAACCAGUGCAAGCCAGACACCAUUUCUCAAAUGCGCCAUUGAAAUAGAAACAUAAAACCUAGGCAUUACCCUAAAUUACCAAAUAAACCAAAAGAGUGCAAGAAGUAGUAGUUACAUUGACUCUAUCGUUCUGUCUGGUGACUGCUUUAAACCCUGUGGCUUCCACAUCUGCAUCAAUACUAACAGUUCUUAAAUGGCUACCAAGGGCAGUUUUUCUCCUGACUGCUGAACCUGAAUGUUCUUCUCCUGUUGAGUAUUUCUACUUAGAUGUGGGGCGAGCACCUCAAACUCAACACAUCUAAAAGUUAAUUCAUUCACUCUCCUUCUCCUCAAUUCCCUACCUUGGAGAAUUCUGCCCAACUAGAAUGCCUGAAACUGGAAUUAUUCAUUUCUUAUCUCCAUUGUCCAGAAAAUUCUACUCCUGAAAUUGUGUUGGCAGCCUUCUCUAGUCUUAUGAUAUCAUGUAAAUUCUGCCAUUUACAUGAAUUUCAGCUCUGUCACUCUUACAAGCUGAUGUUGGUUCCUAAUUAAUUUUUCCACCAUUCACACCUUUUUACUCCAUAUAUGUCUCCUCAGAAACAUAUGAGAAAACCCAUUUAAAAUUCUUCAGUGGUUACUCCUAAUCUUGAAAAUAUAAUUCAAAGUAUUUACUGGGUCCACUGUCUAAUCUCAUACUCCUUCCCUUAAUCUAAUGUUUCUAGUCUCUGAAUCUAUCUGGGAAUUUUUUGUGCCUAACUUUCAAAACUCAAGGAUGAACUUAGGAAUUAGAAGUGGCUUGCCCCCCCUGUGUGCCUUAAGAACACACCUCUGUGUCCUUACAGUGCACUCCUCCCACAACAGUUGAAAGCAAACCUGUUUCCUAGCACCCAAGCCACGCACACACAAAGCUGAGCUCAAAUGUCUAUAGAAUGGAUGAUACAGAACAGUAUGCAGAUGAGUGACAGAACAGCGGGAGCUGCAGAACGCAUAGUCCAUGAAGUUCUUAGGCAUUUGAUAGCUGAACAAGUGCUAUGUGGGGGUUGGGGGAUAUUUAAUCAAGACAUAUUAAUAUAAUACCAGCAUGGGAAAGACUGAGGCAGGAGGAUUUGUGUUCAAGUCACACAGUAAGUUCCACACUUGUCUGAGCUAUAUUACAAGACCUUGUCUAAAAAUCAACAUAAAAACGUUUAAUUCACUUAUGACUGAAAUACUAACUUCUCCACUGUUAUUUUAACAUUUCUUUCAUUUUCUACUCAUUAAAGUUUAAACACAUUUUUAAUCUCUAAAAGGGACAUAAAUACCAAACUUCAGAUACAACUUGUCUCACAAGUAACAAACUCUUUCAUUAAUAUGUGAUACAAAAGUGUGAUUCAGUCAGGAAUCUGGGCUAAUGGGCCUAGCAAACACCUGCUUGACUACAUGCCUAGGACACCACCCAUGCACCACCCUACAACCCCCACUGUCCUGCAGUCAUAUUGGUAAACUUCCUCUCACGCAUCACAGCCCCAAACAAAACUCGGUUUUGGUUUUACUUCCAGGUCUUUUGAUGUAUUCACUAUAGAAGUAGACAGUUUCAUAGUCUUGAAAUAACUAAAUGAUCUGUGCUGAUAAGAAUUUAAAAGAACUCAAUUUCACUGGAGUUGAUGACAGGAAGCUAAAGGAUCUAAGGCUAUGACACAUGACAGGAAGGUCACACAUUUUUAAACAUGUAACAGGCAUACUGAUCCAAAAUUCUGAAGUCUGAAACUUUUUGAAUGCCAAUGACAACACAAAUAGGAAAUUCCCAACCUGACCUUGUAUGGUAGCUCAUAAUCAAGUGCAGCCACAUUAAAGAUACUAAGUAAAACCUUCAGACUGUAUGUGGAGUGUCUACAAAACAAAAAUGAACUUCACUUUUCAUGUUAGAUCUUAUCAGGUAUCCUAUUAGUUUAUAUGUAAAUAUCCGAAAUUCAAAACCAUCCCAAAUCUGAGAUAAUUCAGGUCUCAAGCAGUUCAGACAAGACAUAACCUGUCCAUAGGGUUAGCUGCCACCACCAGAAACUACAGUCUAUACACAAGGAGACAGCCCAGCCCAGACACCUUUACCCAGUUUCAGAUUUCCAUAGGCAAUUCAAGUUCAUAUUCUGGCUGAACAACCACCCACUAACAUAACCCAAGAACCCGGCCUCACAGAACUCCUUUAAGAACCAAACUCCUCUUGUACUUUGAAAGUAAGAAUUGUCAUAAAAGCCAUGUAACCCAAGUAUGCAAAUGUGUUUUGAGUCUAAAUUAAGUCAUAAAUACAGAUUAACAGUGAGAGUCUCUCAAUAAAGAAAUGGCCAUGGAAUAUUUCUAGAGAAGUUUUAGAGAACACUAAACUGACAGACUCUACUCAAAACUCAUUUCCUAAGCAAAUACUAUUUACUGGUUACAUAUUGUGUAGUGGAUGCUGUGCUGGGCAUGAAGACACAGGACAAAUGGAUAUGCUUCUCUUAAAUGGUCUUCCUAGUUAGGGAGACCUCACCAUAAAAUAACACUGAAAUAACUGCUAAAAGGGAAAAAAUGUAAAGUGGGACUGAUAUCCUGAAGGGACAGCGACAACUGCCAUGGAGACAGGGAGAGCAGGUCCUCAGUAGAGAUGGGAGGUAAUACAAGGGAAACUUCAAAUGAGUCUACAGUUCCUUGUAUGAGUGUGAGUGACUCAGGCUUUCCACUCCAGAAAGCCUCUUGCUCCACCUGAGGUGACCCACCAUGUAAGCACAAAAUGGUUGGUUAAGACGGUUAUCACCUUCAUCACUAUGCUGCUGCAGACAUGACACAGGUGAUCUAAGUCAAGAGAGGACAGAGGUCAGGAAAGGUAGGGCAGAACUGAAAUGGUAGGGGCUGAAAGAAGAGGGCAGGCUAAGAGAAGAAUGAGAUGCUGGUUUUCAGGUAGGAAGAAGACAGGCAACUCUCAUUGCUAAGGUGAAUAAUCAGGAAGAAUAUCUUUGUAAGAAAAAUAUAAAACUAAAUAAUGUCCUAAAGGGAAGAAAAUUUAAAACAUGUCUUAUUGACAAGCAACAUUUAAGCUGAUUCUUGAAAAAUGAGUAAAUUAGUCACAUAAUGAACAUAGGAAAUCAGCUCUGGCAACAGCAUGGAGGAAAGGGAGGAAAGCGAGGGAACAAGGUUGGUUAAAAGACUGUUACGAAAGGGAAUGUUAGAGACAAGAUCUAUACUGAAAUACUAAUGGAAGCAAUAGCAGGAGUCAAACAUGAAACUUUCAGAAGGAGGAUACACACUGAUCAGCAAGAGUGUAGGGAAAAUAUCAAGAUACUUUCCACAAUUCUGAUUAGCCAGGUAACUGGAAGGGCAUAUAUGAGAACUAUUCAACAGGGAAUACAGAAAAGAAAGGUGAGUUGGAAAGGAUGAUAAUUUAUUGAAAAGAUGAGUUGCAUUUUAUAAAAUUCAGUGGGUAUGCAUUAAAGGUCAAUUAAAAUUUAUCAAAGAUCAUUAAAAGCAUAUUUGUACAAUAUGCAAUUAGUUACAGAGCAAUAGUCAAUAUAGCACUUCUGUAAGUUUGAAAUUGCAAGCACUACUUAAUAGCAAUGUCACAACUGUGAGACCCACACAGAGAAUAUAGGUACAAGCCAUAGUAACAGACCUAAAUAGCAACUCAUGAUUAAAGGCUAUGCUCAUUAGACAAUGAACCCAAAGCCAGGAUAGACUGUGGACUACUGGUAAACCUGAAACUGAUGUCCUGUUCUGUUCCUCCCUUCUUUUAACAAUCUCCUAUAGCACAAAGCACUGGCAGCACUUGCCUAUAAGUUGUUCUUAUAGCCACAGCCUAAUGUUCACCAGGAAAAAGGAGUGGAGAAGAUGGGUAGAAAAAGAGAGGGAUAGGGAAAAGAGAGAUAGAGGAAUGGAGGGAGUGCUUCCCUGAAUUUCAUGACUUAGAACUAUACAUUGUUGAAUAAGAUACUAACAGUUAAGAAACUAUUAAACUAUUAAAUGGUUCUGCCAAAAAAGGCAUCAAGCUCCAAUACAAAUUAAAGGCCCAUAAAAUAACGGUUUGCUCUAACUUAAUAAACUGCUGUGUAUCUUGGCUUUAUCUUAGAUGUUACAUCUGACUUUACAUUAAACAGUUAGAGUAAUGCCCCCUCAAAAGGCCACAAACAACAUAUGGCCAAGCAAGAUAACCAGAAACUAGGUGCUAGAAAGUCCUUCAGCAGUUACUUGAUACCAACUUCACUGAUCACUACAAGAGUCACUGGUGUUCUUGGACUCUUAAAUGAGGGGAAGAAGAGCAAGUAUAUUAGGCACCUGACUUUCCCGGAGUAACCACAUGGCAGGACCAGCAGAGAAAACCUGCCCAAAGACUACUACACGACAGACACGCCAGCAAGCUCUGACGCCUAGCAUGAAAGAGAAAUUUGCUCAAAUAUACCCAAUUCAGUUAAUCAUAUUUUCCCUUAAGAGCCUGAACCUAAGCUACAUGGGGGAAGGAAAGCAGAUAAAAGUAACAGGAAAGGCAGGGAGUAUAAUUGAUGGAAGUAGUCUCCAACUAUAUUGAGAAGACAGUGAGAUAUCUUUUUAAAGUAGUCUUAAAAGAGCUAGAAGAGAAACAAUACAUCUUGUCGCCAAGACAGCAAUACCCAAUCACUAGAGUUGCCUCGAUUUCCCCCUUAGAUUUCAUAUCGCCUACCUAGUGAAAAUCUAGUGAAGCCAAAGUGAUGGGAUUUCCACAAGGCCUGGCCACUUCUGUCUCCCUUACGUUCCUCACAUAAAACUUUCAGAAAAACCUCCUCCGCCUACCAGAUACAAGUUAAACAAAAUUAUGUAUUUGCAACCAAAAAAGGGGGGGGGGGGGAUGAAAGAUCCUAACAGCUGCUUUUUGAGCACAUGUACUCACACACCAACUUUUAGAUACUAGACAAGCUAGGUGGUAGCCAGCAAUCCAAGCCUUCUCAUUCUCAAACUAUUUUAUAGUAUCUGUGGUUUAGGUAUAAUGUUAACGAACCCUAGUUACCUAGCCUAGAGAGAGGAGCUCAGAAAGAAUGAUAAACCUUAAAAGUUAACAACUUAGGUCUGAGGAAAGGAGUAAAGAGCCUAUUGUGAGGACCUGGAUUUGGAUCCCCAGCAUCUACAUAAAAAGUUAGGCAUGGGAGCCUGUGUAUGCAACUCUCGUACAGGGAUGGGAAUUUGGGAAAAACAGGUAGAUUCCUCCAAGCUAGCUUCAGUCUAAACAAGCAGUAAGAGCCAGCUUCUGUGAAAUACCUGUCCGAAACAUAAAAGUAGAAGGCAAUCAUGCAGGACACCUGACGUCAACCUCUGGACUGCAUAUGUAUGUGCACAAGUAGGUACACACAUAUCUGUGUGCACACAUGUGCACACACAAAAAUUAACUCUUCAUUACAAAUUCCAUACUUCAAUAUUAACAAGAGCACCAGAGUCUUUAUAAGAAACAAACUGAUCUCGUUUAAAAGCUCCUCAUUCUGUGUGUGCAUAAAUGUUUGUGUGACGGGCUGGGGAUUUAGCUCAGUGGUAGAGCGCUUACCUAGGAAGCACAAGGCCCUGGGUUCGGUCCCCAGCUCCGAAAAAAAGAAAAGAAAAAAAAAAUAAAUGUUUGUGUGACAAUUUUUGUGGUAAAUGAACUGACUUUCUUAGCAUUCCAUUGAAUAAAUGUUGAUUAGUCAAGGUGGUCAUGCCCAGAAAUGACAAUUGGAAAAUAUGAAGAUGCUUUAUGAAAAAGUGGCGACCCGCUGGCCUAUCUCACACCCUGAACCUUGCCCACAGAAAAGAUAAUCAUCAGACAUUCUCAACAUGAACCCAUGGAUGCCCAGUGGGCAGCAUACCACAGAACUCCAUAUAUUAAUAAGCAAAAAAAAAAAAAAGAA